This 253-nucleotide ribosomal RNA is filed under the name uncultured bacterium. Its description in RNAcentral is "partial 16S ribosomal RNA". It matches the Rfam family "Bacterial small subunit ribosomal RNA", at positions 524 to 776 of the family's 1533-position model. The record is from RNAcentral.
UACGUAGGGUGCGAGCGUUGUCCGGAAUUAUUGGGCGUAAAGGGCUCGUAGGCGGUCUGUUGCGUCAGGAGUGAAAACUCGGGGCUUAACCCCGAGCCUGCUUCUGAUACGGGCAGACUAGAGGUAUGCAGGGGAGAACGGAAUUCCUGGUGUAGCGGUGGAAUGCGCAGAUAUCAGGAGGAACACCGGUGGCGAAGGCGGUUCUCUGGGCCUUACCUGACGCUGAGGAGCGAAAGCGUGGGGAGCGAACAGG